AAUACAUGUACCUCAAUAAUUUUAUCAAGGGCAUGUUUUGUGCUAGAUACUACUCUUUAUGUUAGGAAUAUAAGCAAUUGUAUAAGAUACUUACAGAUUGCAGUAAGUGGUAAAAAAUAUAACAUGAAGAGGGAAUAGUGAUGAGAAGGUAACUAUAUAGGGGAGUGGUCAGGGAGUGCUUCACUGAAGAUGUAAAAUAUGAACUGAAACCUAUAUCCUGAUUUAAAAUAGCUUUGCAGAUGUUUUAGGUAAAUAGCAGCAAGCGAACAAUACCAAAGUAGAAUGACUCCUGCCUGCUACAUUUCCCCAGAUACCCAGGACCUUCAUGCUGUCACUCUCCAUGACCUGACCAACAUCUAUUUUGAGAAAUUAUUUUAUAUACUCAUUCAAACAGUCAUCUUUUGUGUCCAGAGUUGGUUCCUUCUGGUGGGUUCGUGGUCUCGCUAACUUCAAGAAUGGAGCCACGGACCUUCGCGACACUUCUAUUUAAACUUCUUGGAAGGAUAUCUCAAUAACAUUCCUUUGCUGAGGACCAUAAGAUAGAAGAUGAGAAUCCAUCUGCCCUCUUCUCUGCACCCAGGCUUCAAUCCUGUUUGAUCAUGCAGGGGCUACAAGGCCUUCGACACAAAGAACUUGUCUUAGAUUCUAAUCAGUUUAACAAAUAGGACAGACAGCUGCUGAGCACUGUCUGAGUGACACUGAUUUACAUACAAAUGAACCACCAAUGUCCCCUUCUAUCAACUCAGAAUAAAAUCUGGUUUUAGCAUAUGCAGUCCUACGAGACAUGGUUAAAGGAUAUGAAUGAUAGAUAGAGAUAAAAGAAAUCAAGGACCAUUCCUCCACAAGUCUCCAAAGAGGAAAACAACAAUCGAAGAAAAAAGAGUGAGAGAACA
This 893-nucleotide long non-coding RNA is filed under the name Homo sapiens (human). Its description in RNAcentral is "HSALNT0314036". The record is from RNAcentral. Lineage: Eukaryota; Metazoa; Chordata; Mammalia; Primates; Hominidae.